AAGUCGUAACAAGGUUUCCGUAGGUGAACCUGCGGAAGGAUCAUUAAUAAAGUGAAUGUCGAGUGGGGUUGUAGCUGGCCUCUCGGGGCAUGUGCACACCUCCAUCGCACAUCCAACCUCUUACACACCUGUGCACAACCUUUUUAUAGCCUCUUAGGAUGAUUAUGGAGUUGGAAACGACUUCAGAAAACCCUUGGCUAUAAAUCUUUACACACAUACACUUAUAAAAGUCAUAGAAUGUUUUGUAGCGUGCAGCAGCACAAAUAAAUACAACUUUCAGCAACGGAUCUCUUGGCUCUC
RNAcentral lists this unclassified non-coding RNA (300 nucleotides) under air metagenome. Its description in RNAcentral is "partial contains small subunit ribosomal RNA, internal transcribed spacer 1, and 5.8S ribosomal RNA". The stretch from base 1 to 46 matches the Rfam family "Eukaryotic small subunit ribosomal RNA", at positions 1786 to 1831 of the family's 1831-position model. The record is from RNAcentral.